This 465-nucleotide ribosomal RNA is filed under the name uncultured bacterium. RNAcentral's name for it is "partial 16S ribosomal RNA". It matches the Rfam family "Bacterial small subunit ribosomal RNA", at positions 28 to 507 of the family's 1533-position model. The record is from RNAcentral.
GACGAACGCUGGCGGCGUGCUUAACACAUGCAAGUCGAACGGAAAGGCCCCUUUGGGGUUACUCGAGUGGCGAACGGGUGAGUAACACGUGAGUAACCUGCCCUUGACUUCGGGAUAACUUCAGGAAACUGGGGCUAAUACCGGAUAGGAAUCCUUGCUGCAUGGUGGGGGUUGGAAAGCUUCGGCGGUUUUGGAUGGACUCGCGGCUUAUCAGCUUGUUGGUGGGGUAGUGGCUUACCAAGGCUUUGACGGGUAGCCGGCCUGAGAGGGCGACCGGCCACAUUGGGACUGAGAUACGGCCCAGACUCCUACGGGAGGCAGCAGUGGGGAAUAUUGCACAAUGGGCGGAAGCCUGAUGCAGCAACGCCGCGUGCGGGAUGACGGCCUUCGGGUUGUAAACCGCUUUCAGCAGGGGCGAAGCUUGUGGUGACGGUACCUGCAGAAGAAGCACCGGCUAACUACGUG